AGUGAACGCUGGCGGUAGGCCUAACACAUGCAAGUCGAACGGCAGCACAGUAAGAGCUUGCUCUUACGGGUGGCGAGUGGCGGACGGGUGAGGAAUACAUCGGAAUCUACUUUUUCGUGGGGGAUAACGUAGGGAAACUUACGCUAAUACCGCAUACGACCUACGUGUGAAAGCAGGGGAUCUUCGGACCUUGCGCGAUUGAAUGAGCCGAUGUCGGAUUAGCUAGUUGGCGGGGUAAAGGCCCACCAAGGCGACGAUCCGUAGCUGGUCUGAGAGGAUGAUCAGCCACACUGGAACUGGGAGACGGUCCAGACUCCGACGGGGGGCAGCAGUGGGGAAUAUUGGACGAUGGGCGCAAGCCUGAUCCAGCCAUACCGCGUGGGUGAAGAAGGCGUUCGGGUUGUAAAGUCCUUUUGUUGGGAAAGAAAAGCAGCAGGUUAAUACCCCGCUGUUCUGACGGUACCCAAAGAAUAAGCACCGGCUAACUUCGUG
RNAcentral lists this ribosomal RNA (492 nucleotides) under uncultured bacterium. RNAcentral's name for it is "partial 16S ribosomal RNA". It matches the Rfam family "Bacterial small subunit ribosomal RNA", at positions 29 to 507 of the family's 1533-position model. The record is from RNAcentral.